RNAcentral lists this ribosomal RNA (279 nucleotides) under Salmonella enterica. RNAcentral describes it as "partial 23S ribosomal RNA". It matches the Rfam family "Bacterial large subunit ribosomal RNA", at positions 1 to 280 of the family's 2925-position model. RNAcentral also lists the same sequence under 2 other names. Lineage: Bacteria; Pseudomonadati; Pseudomonadota; Gammaproteobacteria; Enterobacterales; Enterobacteriaceae. The record is from RNAcentral.
GGUUAAGCGACUAAGCGUACACGGUGGAUGCCCUGGCAGUCAGAGGCGAUGAAGGGCGUGCUAAUCUGCGAUAAGCGCCGGUAAGGUGAUAUGAACCGUUAUAACCGGCGAUACCCGAAUGGGGAAACCCAGUGUGACUCGUCACACUAUCAUUAACUGAAUCCAUAGGUUAAUGAGGCGAACCGGGGGAACUGAAACAUCUAAGUACCCCGAGGAAAAGAAAUCAACCGAGAUUCCCCCAGUAGCGGCGAGCGAACGGGGAGGAGCCCAGAGCCUGAA